This 279-nucleotide ribosomal RNA is filed under the name uncultured bacterium. RNAcentral describes it as "partial 16S ribosomal RNA". It matches the Rfam family "Bacterial small subunit ribosomal RNA", at positions 506 to 784 of the family's 1533-position model. The record is from RNAcentral.
UGCCAGCCGCCGCGGUAAUACGGGGGGGGCAAGCGUUAUUCGGAAUUACUGGGCGUAAAGAGCGCGUAGGCGGCCAGGUAUGUCAAAGGUGAAAUCCCUCGGCUCAACCGAGGAACUGCCUUUGAAACUGCCUGGCUUGAGGCUGGGAGGGGAUAGCGGAAUUCCCGGCGUAGCGGUGAAAUGCGUAGAUACCGGGAGGAACGCCUGUGGCGAAGGCGGCUAUCUGGACCAGUUCUGACGCUGAGGCGCGAAAGCGUGGGGAGCAAACAGGAUUAGAAA